RNAcentral lists this ribosomal RNA (253 nucleotides) under uncultured bacterium. RNAcentral describes it as "partial 16S ribosomal RNA". It matches the Rfam family "Bacterial small subunit ribosomal RNA", at positions 524 to 776 of the family's 1533-position model. The record is from RNAcentral.
UACGUAGGGUGCGAGCGUUGUCCGGAAUUACUGGGCGUAAAGAGCUCGUAGGUGGUUUGUCGCGUUGUUCGUGAAAACUCACAGCUUAACUGUGGGCGUGCGGGCGAUACGGGCAGACUGGAGUACUGCAGGGGAGACUGGAAUUCCUGGUGUAGCGGUGGAAUGCGCAGAUAUCGGGAGGAACACCAGUGGCGAAGGCGACUACCUGGCCUGUUCUUGACGCUGAGGCGCGAAAGCUAGGGGAGCAAACGGG